GGGUCUGUAUUGGUAUCGAGGAUUCAAAUAAUAUGCUGGUCAAAGAAACAUAUACUAUAAUAAGAAAAAUAAUACUUAUUCAACUAAAGAAAUGAAUUGCAAAUUAUGACAUAAUUUAUACCUGCUGCAUGCAAAUCGUGAUAUAAUGUUUUAUACCAUCGGUCAUCAAUUAUCUUUAUGACCCACCUUGCACCAUGUUUUUUUUCUAAUUCCUCCUUCACUACACGCAUUAACUCAUAUAUUGCCCCCAUAGUAGG
RNAcentral lists this long non-coding RNA (257 nucleotides) under Prunus persica (peach). RNAcentral describes it as "long non-coding RNA (PPER_LNC008325)". Lineage: Eukaryota; Viridiplantae; Streptophyta; Magnoliopsida; Rosales; Rosaceae. The record is from RNAcentral.